AAUAACCAAAUACAUGAAUGAUAUAUAUUUUAAAUACUCAAUUACUUAUACAUAUGGGUAUAUCCCUCAUAAAAAUCUACAAUAUUUGUUGUUUGUUGUGUACUUAUAAAAUCCUACAAAGAUCACACGUAUUAUAUUCAAUAACUCCCUCUCACACGUUCUAUCUCUCUACACAUAUCUCUCACAAAUAUUAUAUAUCCCAAAACAAUGACACAUAUCUCUCUACACGUAUCUCUCACAAAUAUUAUAUAUCCACAAAGAUACUGCAAGAGUACUCUCCAAAUUCUAUAUUUGAUCAUAUUGUACCAGAAGUCUCCCAAAAAUCUGCUUGAGAUCAUGAAGUUAUAGAUACAAAUUGUUCCCAUCUUCCCCCUUUACCUGUCGAUUCCCAGAUGUAACACACCCCCUUGAUCAACCUUGCAGCCACCACCUUCGAUUGCUGCCAAGAACAACCAAGAGGGCAGUAGCCCGUUUCUUCUUCGUGUUUCCUUUUCCUUCCAAACAAUCAAAACCCAAACAUCCUUUCCCUAGAUCGAUUUCUGUCAAAAGAAAACCAAUCAUCCAAUUUCCAAUGAUUUCUAUAAAAAAAAACAGGAAGAAAAGAUGAGGAGAGCUGCCGGAGCAGCCCCCGUCCACGUACCUUUCAACCACCGAGAGCAAGACCCACCGAAGUGCGUGUUUCCCCGGAGCAAACACCGCAGGCGACCGUCCCCUCUGAUCCCUCGCCCCCUUACCUACCGCUACGACGCUGCUGCCCUACUCCAUCCCGUUCUUCCCUUCGGCCCGUCAAACCCAGGAGACCACAUCGGUUUGCGAAGCGAAGCCGAUCGAGGAAACCCUUUCUGGCCUCCUUCCUUUCGCAAACCACGUAGCCACACCGAUCGACGAAACCCUUUUU
RNAcentral lists this long non-coding RNA (898 nucleotides) under Lactuca sativa (garden lettuce). RNAcentral describes it as "long non-coding RNA (LSAT_LNC007031)". The record is from RNAcentral. Lineage: Eukaryota; Viridiplantae; Streptophyta; Magnoliopsida; Asterales; Asteraceae.